Small nuclear RNA from Cricetulus griseus (Chinese hamster), 105 nucleotides. Lineage: Eukaryota; Metazoa; Chordata; Mammalia; Rodentia; Cricetidae. The record is from Ensembl.
GAUGCUCACUUUGGCAGGUCAUACACUAAAACUGAAAUGAUACAGAGAUCAGCAUGGCCACUCCAUAAGGAUGACAUGAGAAUUUGUGAAGCAUUCCACGUAUCU